Molecule: ribosomal RNA, 293 nt
Filed under: uncultured bacterium
Lineage: Bacteria
Description: partial 16S ribosomal RNA
Rfam family: Bacterial small subunit ribosomal RNA
Source: RNAcentral
GAUGAACGCUGGCGGCGUGCCUAAUACAUGCAAGUCGAACGCACAGCGAAAGGUGCUUGCACCUUUCAAGUGAGUGGCGAACGGGUGAGUAACACGUGGAUAACCUACCUCAAGGUUGGGGAUAACAUUUGGAGACAGAUGCUAAUACCGAAUAAAACUUCGUAUCGCAUGAUACAAGGUUAAAAGGCGCUACGGCGUCACCUAGAGAUGGAUCCGCGGUGCAUUAGUUAGUUGGUGGGGUAAAGGCCUACCAAGACAAUGAUGCAUAGCCGAGUUGAGAGACUGAUCGGCCA